AGGAUUAACGCUGGCGGCGUGCCUGACACAUGCAAGUCGAACGAGGCCGCAAGGCCGAGUGGCGGACGGGUGAGUAACACGUGACCAACCAACCUCGAAGUUGGGAAUAGCUCUGCGAAAGUAGGGGUAAUACCGAAUGUGGCCCAGGGCGGGCAUCCGCCUUGGUCUAAAGAUUCAUCGCUUCGAGACGGGGUCGCGGCCUAUUAGCUUGUUGGUGAGGUAACGGCUCACCAAGGCGAUGAUGGGUAGCUGGUCUGAGAGGACGACCAGCCACACUGGGACUGAGACACGGCCCAGACUCCUACGGGAGGCAGCAGUGAGGAAUCUUCCGCAAUGGGCGAAAGCCUGACGGAGCAACGCCGCGUGUGGGAUGAAAGACUCUAGGGUUGUAAACCACUGUCGGAGGGGACGAUCGUGACGGUACCCUCCAAGAAACGCCCCGGCUAACUACGUGCCAGCAGCCGC
RNAcentral lists this ribosomal RNA (465 nucleotides) under uncultured bacterium. RNAcentral's name for it is "SSU rRNA". It matches the Rfam family "Bacterial small subunit ribosomal RNA", at positions 26 to 518 of the family's 1533-position model. The record is from RNAcentral.